UUGAGAGAGAGGAUGAUAAAGGAGGAUGGGAGAGAUGAGUAACAAAAGUGAAAAUAAAACUUGAAAGUGAAAACAAUUUCAAAUAAUUUUUUUGUUUUUUGUUUUUGUUUUCACUUUUGUUACUCCUCCCUCCCAUCAUUCCCUCUAAUCUUCCAUCUCAAU
This 162-nucleotide microRNA precursor is filed under the name Prunus dulcis (almond). Its description in RNAcentral is "sRNA ncRNA". The record is from RNAcentral. Lineage: Eukaryota; Viridiplantae; Streptophyta; Magnoliopsida; Rosales; Rosaceae.